AUGAUCAUCUUAUUUCUCUAUUUCCCGAUGAAUUCUUCCUUCUUCUCCUCUACCAUCUCCCAACUGUCCGCCUCGCCUAGCCCGAGCCGGUGCCUCCCAUGUGUUGAUGUCGCUCCUGGCCAUCUAUCAACCUCGAACUCUCCUCCAGCAGUGGCGACGUUGCCACAUCGACCAGGAGCUACUUCGGGGGCGCUUCUAUCCGUUGCUGCACCGCCGUCUAGGCCCCUCGGAGAGCUUCAUCCAAAACCAAUAGACGGGAAAGAAAGUUUCAAGCAACUGAAGAAUAGCAAAACCGACCAAAAUUAUGUUUUGGCUCUUUAUGAUGUACAUUUAAAAAGUUGUUGA
This 345-nucleotide ribosomal RNA is filed under the name Triticum aestivum (bread wheat). RNAcentral's name for it is "partial small subunit ribosomal RNA". The record is from RNAcentral. Lineage: Eukaryota; Viridiplantae; Streptophyta; Magnoliopsida; Poales; Poaceae.